Xiphophorus hellerii (green swordtail) is the source of this 268-nucleotide long non-coding RNA. RefSeq lists it as uncharacterized. The record is from RefSeq and is a predicted model, not a curated record. The transcript has 2 exons. Lineage: Eukaryota; Metazoa; Chordata; Actinopteri; Cyprinodontiformes; Poeciliidae.
GAAACAUUGCUUCAUCCAUGUGCUGAAAAUAGUAUUGUUCAUGAUUAAACAGGCGCUGUGGAACACUGUGAAAAGAAAAGCCUGUUCUUGAUUACUAUUUUCUGCCAUUUGAAUGCAGGUAAAUGUGUUACUUUACACAAGUCACACGCUCUUUCUGUUCGGAUCCCGUGGGAGAAGGCGCUGUGGAACACUGUGAAAAGAAAAGCCUGUUCUUGAUUACUAUUUUCUGCCAUUUGAAUGCAGGAUCAUUAAAAGUGAUUUCCAAUCA